This 376-nucleotide ribosomal RNA is filed under the name Amphipoda sp. BOLD:ADF5873. RNAcentral's name for it is "partial 16S ribosomal RNA". The stretch from base 52 to 376 matches the Rfam family "Bacterial large subunit ribosomal RNA", at positions 2045 to 2606 of the family's 2925-position model. Lineage: Eukaryota; Metazoa; Arthropoda; Malacostraca; Amphipoda. The record is from RNAcentral.
AGGAUGAAGGUUUAACAAUGGAUAGUGUCUUUAUGGUAAAACAAUAACUUGUAUUUCAGGUAAAAAUACUUGAAUAAGCUUAAGGGACGAUAAGACCCUAAAAGCUUUAUAAUCACGGGGGGAUGGGUUUAGUGUUGAGUACGAGGUAGUUUAGCUGGGGCAGCGGGUGCAUUGAACCUGUGAUGAGGUUUGGUUAAUUAAAGGGUUCUUUAGAUAAGGAUUAAUGGAAUUAGUUACUUUAGGGGUAACAGCGUAAUAACCCUUAGUAGACCGAAUUUACGGGGGGGUUUGCGACCUCGAUGUUGAAUUAGAAUUUCUUUUGGGAGCAAAAACCCAGUUAGAGGGUUUGUUCAACCUUUAAAUUUCUACAUGAUUU